RNAcentral lists this ribosomal RNA (531 nucleotides) under Triticum aestivum (bread wheat). RNAcentral's name for it is "partial small subunit ribosomal RNA". The record is from RNAcentral. Lineage: Eukaryota; Viridiplantae; Streptophyta; Magnoliopsida; Poales; Poaceae.
AUGACACAGCAAAAUGGCGUCCAUAAGCAUACAAGUAUCUUACAACCGAUCUAUAUUACAGAAGCGCAGAUACAUUCAACGAGACGAUGGAAUUCUAAAGAGAAGCUGAAGCAGAGUAAGCCGAGUCGUCCGUCAGGGUCAGGUACACAGGAUGCAGCAACCGCGUCGCUUGACGCGCUCCGCUCCUCAACCGCCGCCCCCACCGCCCCCGUGGCCGCCUCCACCACCGCAGCCGCCGCCGCCGGCGCCAUCACCUCCGUAGCCGGCGCCGCUGCCGCUGCCCCAGCGCUCGCGGCGGCGUCGCUUGGCCCUCCCGUCGUCGGCGCAGCCGAACGCCGCGAUGGCCACGACGGCGACCGCGCCCACGAGGACGAAGAGCAGACCCACUACGGCGCCGGGCGCGCGCUGCACGGAGCCGGCUGCGGCGGCGGCGAAGCCUCUCGCCGCGGCGAGAUCCAACGCCCUCACCAUUUCAGCUGCUGGAGGCUACGCCUUUUGUGCGAGCCAGCUGGAAGCGCCGAUACCGCCUAG